Molecule: ribosomal RNA, 91 nt
Filed under: Chaetospermum camelliae
Lineage: Eukaryota; Fungi; Basidiomycota; Agaricomycetes; Sebacinales; Sebacinaceae
Description: partial 28S ribosomal RNA
Source: RNAcentral
UGCUUCUAACUGUCCCCUUGGGACUAAGCUUCGGCUUAUUUUGACAACUUGACCUCAAAUCGGGUAGGACUACCCGCUGAACUUAAGCAUA